RNAcentral lists this small nuclear RNA (18 nucleotides) under Arabidopsis thaliana (thale cress). RNAcentral's name for it is "snRNA_03442". The record is from RNAcentral. Lineage: Eukaryota; Viridiplantae; Streptophyta; Magnoliopsida; Brassicales; Brassicaceae.
UGGUACGGACAAGGGGAA